RNAcentral lists this small nuclear RNA (136 nucleotides) under Fukomys damarensis (Damara mole-rat). RNAcentral's name for it is "U2 spliceosomal RNA". It matches the Rfam family "U2 spliceosomal RNA". Rfam says of the family: U2 is a small nuclear RNA (snRNA) component of the spliceosome (involved in pre-mRNA splicing). The record is from Rfam by way of RNAcentral. Lineage: Eukaryota; Metazoa; Chordata; Mammalia; Rodentia; Bathyergidae.
AUCGCUUCUCGGCCUUUUGGCUAAGAUCAAGUGUAAAAAUGAAAAUAAAACAAUAAUAGUAGAUAAUUUUAGUUUCAAUUAUGUGAUAUACAUUAGGGUUUCUUUUCGUUACUUAAUCACAUAAAAUGUACCUACG